RNAcentral lists this ribosomal RNA (505 nucleotides) under uncultured Glomeraceae. Its description in RNAcentral is "SSU rRNA". It matches the Rfam family "Eukaryotic small subunit ribosomal RNA", at positions 569 to 1078 of the family's 1831-position model. Lineage: Eukaryota; Fungi; Glomeromycota; Glomeromycetes; Glomerales; Glomeraceae. The record is from RNAcentral.
AGCAGCCGCGGUAAUUCCAGCUCCAAUAGCGUAUAUUAAAGUUGUUGCAGUUAAAAAGCUCGUAGUUGAAUUUCGAGACCGGUUUAUUGGUCGUGCUUUUGUACGUACUGGUAUUAUUGGUUUCUCCUUUCUGACGAAUCUUAAUGCCAUUAAUUUGGUGUUUUGGGGAAUCAGGACUGUUACUUUGAAAAAUUAGAGUGUUUAAAGCAGGCUCACGCUUGAAUACAUUAGCAUGGAAUAACGGAAUAGGACGUUUGAUUCUAUUUUGUUGGUUUCUAGGAUCGACGUAAUGAUUAAUAGGGAUAGUUGGGGGCAUUAGUAUUCAAUUGUCAGAGGUGAAAUUCUUGGAUUUAUUGAAGACUAACUACUGUGAAAGCAUUUGCCAAGGAUGUUUUCAUUAAUCAGGAACGAAAGUUAGGGGAUCGAAGACGAUCAGAUACCGUCGUAGUCUUAACCAUAAACUAUGCCGACUAGGGAUCGGAUGAUGUUAAUUUUUAAUGACUCA